This 66-nucleotide transfer RNA is filed under the name Petrolisthes haswelli. Its description in RNAcentral is "tRNA-Asn". Lineage: Eukaryota; Metazoa; Arthropoda; Malacostraca; Decapoda; Porcellanidae. The record is from RNAcentral.
UCAGUAGAAGCCAAAACAGAGGCCUGUCUUUGUUAAUGACAUAAGUGAAAUUUUUUUCCUACUGAG